UUGAACGUUGGCGGCAGGCCUAAAACAUGCAAGUCGAACGGUAACAGCGAGAGCUUGCUCUCGGCUGACAAGUGGCGAACGGGUGAGUAACACGUAGGAAUCUACCCAAUAGUGGGGGACAACCCGGGGAAACCCGGGCUAAUACCGCAUACGCUCUCCUAUCGAAGGAUAGGAAAGGAAAGCGGGGGAUCUUCGGACCUCGCGCUAUUGGAGGAGCCUGCGUCGGAUUAGCUAGUUGGUAGGGAAAAGCCUACCAAGGCGACGAUCCGUAGCUGGUCUGAGAGGACGAUCAGCCACACUGGAACUGAGACACGGGUCCAGACUCCUACGGGAGGCAGCAGUUAGGAAUCUUGGGCAAUGGGCGCAAGCCUGACCCAGCCAUGCCGCGUGUGUGAAG
This 397-nucleotide ribosomal RNA is filed under the name uncultured bacterium. RNAcentral describes it as "bacterial SSU rRNA". It matches the Rfam family "Bacterial small subunit ribosomal RNA", at positions 30 to 410 of the family's 1533-position model. The record is from RNAcentral.